AUUGAACGCUGGCGGCAGGCCUAACACAUGCAAGUCGAACGGUAGCACAGAGGAGCUUGCUCCUUGGGUGACGAGUGGCGGACGGGUGAGUAAUGUCUGGGAAACUGCCCGAUGGAGGGGGAUAACUACUGGAAACGGUAGCUAAUACCGCAUAACGUCGCAAGACCAAAGAGGGGGACCUUCGGGCCUCUUGCCAUCGGAUGUGCCCAGAUGGGAUUAGCUAGUAGGGGGGGUAACGGCUCACCUAGCCUACGUUCCCUAGCUGGUCUGAGCGGAUGACCAGCCCCACUGGAGCUGAGACACGGCACAGACUCAUACGGGAGGCAGCAGUGGGGAAUAUUGCACAAUGGGCGAAAGCCUGAUGCCGCCAUGCCGCGUGUAUGAAGAAGGCGUUCGGGUUGUAAAGUACUCUCAGCGAGGAGGAAGGUGUUGAGGUUAAUAACCUCAGCAAUUGACGUUACUCGCAGAAGAAGCACCGGCUAACUCCGUGCCAGCAGCCGCGGUAA
Molecule: ribosomal RNA, 506 nt
Filed under: uncultured bacterium
Lineage: Bacteria
Description: partial 16S ribosomal RNA
Rfam family: Bacterial small subunit ribosomal RNA
Source: RNAcentral